Molecule: small nuclear RNA, 128 nt
Organism: Anser brachyrhynchus (Pink-footed goose)
Lineage: Eukaryota; Metazoa; Chordata; Aves; Anseriformes; Anatidae
Source: Ensembl
AUGUUGUAUGAAAGGAGAGAAGGUUAGCACUCCCCUUGAUAAGGAUGGAAGAGGCCCCAGUGGCCUGUACAACACGCAUACGGUUAAGGCACUGCCACCUACUUCGUGGCAUCUAACCAUGUUUUUGG